Homo sapiens (human) is the source of this 857-nucleotide long non-coding RNA. Ensembl annotates it as long intergenic non-protein coding RNA 2359. The record is from Ensembl. NCBI's taxonomy places the organism in Eukaryota, Metazoa, Chordata, Mammalia, Primates, Hominidae.
ACAGUACAUCACCUUCAUGAGCGCAUCAGUGAACACCAGUCUAAGGAAGACAUCUCUGAACGUAAUUUUGGAGAUUUUGAUGAGUUCCAUUGAAACAAGGAGGAAUGUGAUGUCCAGUAUCAGUUCUGCAGACCCAAGGACAAAGAAAAUUCUGUGAUAAACUCAUCCAGUGUGACUGUAAUGUGGGUAUCUAUUUGAUACCUCCAAGUAACUGUUUAUUCUUGUGCCAGUUGAGUAGAUGGUACGGGCCAGUUGGUGUUGAUUAGUGAACCACGGACAAAGGGCAUAUGUCACAUGAGUUGCUCCUGGAUAAAGUCACCCAGUCACUUCCUGAUGAAUAUCCUGCAUAAACUCCAAAGACAAAAGAGAGUUAAGGUUGUUUUUCUCACCUUAGACCAGGCAGUGAUAGAAGAACUGGGGGAAGAGAUAAUUGUAUUUAUCUUGGUGAGGGUGACAAAUCAUGGCAAAUGAGCAAAAUGAAAAAGGUUUGCAGAUUUCAACAAACUUCUAAAAGAUCAGCUUACAGUCAUGUAUACAUCUCUUCCUUUGUUUCUAGUUUAUUUGCAUCUCAUUACUAUGUUCUCGGUUUAGGAUACAAGACACCGGACUUUCAAAUCAACAAUUGUUUCAAAAGACUCCUACUGGAUUCCUGCUAGUGAUGGGAGAAAAUUAUCAUUCUGCUAGUUAAUCUGUAGCCAGAGAUGAUUAAGGAGGUCAUUAAAGGAAAACAAGCUGCCCACCAUGCUGAUGCCUGGUUGUUCAGAUCGUUGAGGUGGUGUAGAGAUGACGCACACUGGCUCAGUUUACCCACAUUUGGAUCUACGGACCUGCAAGUGUAUGAGCAUAAAACAUUGCAC